This 5913-nucleotide long non-coding RNA is filed under the name Heterocephalus glaber (naked mole-rat). RNAcentral describes it as "lncRNA (ENSHGLG00100044912.1)". The record is from RNAcentral. Lineage: Eukaryota; Metazoa; Chordata; Mammalia; Rodentia; Bathyergidae.
CUUCAGGGCCACUGUGAGCCUCUGCCCUGGGCAGCUUUCACUAUGCAGAGAAAAUUUCUUUUCUGCCUCUCAUAAACCUAUACUUUAACUGCCUUUUCUGCAUGUCUUGUCCAAUUCUUUGUUCAAGACAUCAACAACCUGGAAAGAAACCUUGUAGGACCAGUUGCAGAGCCAGAAAAAGUGCCCACGGGAAUGCAGACACUGUCACUGCUUUGGAGGCUGGAUAUGCAGCCUAAGGAAAUUAGUGCUUAACAAGAGCCGGGCUCUGCUGGCUUUGCAACUCUUGCCUGGAGGCUGUGGCUGCACCAGGGGCCAAAGCAGUCAGAGAGGCGGGCCUGGCAGAGGCUGUGGUCACCUCUAAGAUUGCUGAGCCUCAGAAGUCCUCAAGGCACACACAGUCAGUAAUAGUCUAGGCUCUAAGAGCCAGAGGAAAGGGGGGGGUGUUUGCAUUUUCCUCAUCUCCACAGCUGCCUCCAGCUGAAGGCCCCUGUAAGUAACCUGAGCUUUUUGACUUUUAGGUUCCUUUCUGUUUCCCAGUUAGAAGGCCUUCAGGUCUGUCUGCUGCAGGGCCCUCUGUACUGGGAAGGAGACUGUGGGGCAGGGACUCGACCUUUGGGCUUCCGGCCUGUCAGAUCCUGAGCCCAGAAAACUGCUUUGCAGAGCUAUUGUGCUGGCCCUGGAGAGAGGUGGCCUCUAGAGGAAUGCUGUGUGGCAACUUCCCACACAAUGCUCCUGACUUCACAGUACCCCUUGGCUAGGGAAAGGACCCGAAGCCUGCUUUCAUGAGGCUGUGGAGAACCCUAAGAAGCUGGUGGGACUUCUUACACUCUGAGUCCCUUCUCCAGAGAAUUUGGGAGGAGCAGUGCUUUUCUAAAACUUGCCUUCCUAGAACUCAACCUCCUCCCUUGCCCCCCACCCCCCAGCAAUGUUCCAGAAUCUGGGAACAGGGCACAGAGCAAAAGAAAGAUGCCUAUUUUUGCAGAAUUUAUAUUUUAACGAGAAGCCAGAAAGUAAGCAGAAUAAAUGUGUGAGAUCUGCUGUGGAGAAAAAUGAAACAGAGAACAGCAUGAGGGAUGGUGGGGCUGGUGUGCUUCUCCCAGACAGCGUGGCCUCGCUGACAGGCCACAUCUGAGCCUGAUGGAGUAGAGAAUCAGAGCUGAGGGUGAGCUGGGGCUGAACAUCCUGGGUUUCUGCUGGUGACAGCGGAGGGCAUAACCCCUAAUGGCCCCAGGGCUUGGAGCUCCUGCCUCUACACUGACUUCUGCCCUGAGAAGAGGCUGGUGCCAUAGAGGGGAGUCGGAGGGGCCUUGUCCUGCUGUGAAGAAAGUUCCAGAGUCCUGGCCUGUACUCCCUGGUUGCUGGAAGAAGAUAACUCUUGGGAAGUUUAGAAAUCGUCUCCCAGACAUGUAACAAGGAGUUGCUGAGCUGGUGGUGCUGAGUCUUCUUUGCCAUGGAUUUCACCUUCAGAUAUGGUUUUGUUUUAUAGGCUGGCCUAAAACUGGAUAUCCUCUUGCCUCAGCCUCUGGAGUGCAAAGAUUACCAGCAUACAGUGCCAUGCUUGCUGUAACCUCCAUAGAUUUCAAGGGUAUGAAAGGUCCUGAGACUACACUGUUGGAACGACUGCAUCACACCACUCUGCGCUCCCAGAGGUAGACAGGAGGGAGAAGCAUCUUUCCACUUUAUCCACGUUACCCAUUGUUGUUACUGAUUUAUUUUUAAAUCCAACUUGGCUUCUCCCCUGAAAACUGUUGAGAAGUAAAGAAAACUGACCAUAGCUUCCUGAAGUCAAAGCACCUAAAACAAAGAGAAGGCCAUGGAAGUGAGUAAGGGGCUUCUCCAAGACUGCAAGGUCACCCAAGGUCCCUACCGUCCAUGCUGCUGAGAAGCUGCCAGUUUCUUCUUUGCUUGGUUGGUCUCACAACCAACCACCCACUCCCACCCACUAUACCUCAACACCCAACCUGGAGAGGUGUUGUUCUCUGGGUCCUGAAAACACUAAGGGAAGCUGGGAGUAGGGGGCACAUGCCUGUAAUCCCACCACUUGGGAGGCUGAGGCAGGAAGAUGGUGAGUUCCAGGCCUGGAUUGCAUAGAAAGACUAUGUCUCAAAACACACACACACACACACACAUGGGGACUCACUACGGCUUUGGACUGACCCACCCCCGACCUCUCUGGGAUGAUGGCGCAGGGAAGAGCACCCUCAGUCUGUGGUACACUAGCCCCUGUUCUUGGGUUGGGGCUCAGAUGAAAAGCGAAGGUCACUUUUCUAGGCCUGAAGAGGAAAUGUAAAUCUCUCCCAGCCCACGUGGCAGAAGCUGCCAGAAGGCCAUUGCCCUGUUAGUAAACAGGGCUGCCUGGGCCAUCUUUCUCUUUUGUAAUAACCUGCAGGGCACCUAUUGAUUGCACGUGCUGGUCCCUCAUAAGUGAGGACAGGGCUGUCUUCCGGUUGCUCUGGAGCUGUGAGGGUGCCUAAAUUGGCUGACUAAUACUGCAUGCUCAUGGAGCACAGUGUCCUGUGCCACCUAAACAUGAAGAAUAUGUAUCAUCAGGCGCCGUGAGAGUGCAGGCCCCAACUCCAGCGGCUUCAAGGCUUCCGGGCGUGCUGCAGACUGCAAUUAGGCAGUUUGCUUGCCUCCUCCCGAGAGGAAAGAACACUGAUGUGGCUCCUGCUGCAGCCUGAGCUACUUUAAGAUGGAGGGAGCGGCAGGUCUUGGAGGGUGGGCAAUGGGCCAGCUCCUCACCUCAGCUACCCCCUCAGCAGGAAUGGCAGCCAGCAAAUAGAAACCAACCCACAUCUUUUAGCCUGUGGUGGACAGAGUUAUGACUCAAAAGACACGUUCAAAACCCCCACUUCGGCCACUUUUGGCUGUGUGAUAUUAGUGGCUUAACCUCUCUGAGCCUCAGCAUCUCAUCUGGAAAGUUGAGAAAAUAAUAUUUCCUUAAUUGUUCAUGUGGUUAGGCCUGCCUGGAACCCAGUAUCCUCUCAUAAAUACCGGCACUGAGUCAAAAGCAGCUGAACACAGCAGUAGGUACCGGACUGAAACUACUUUUCCUUUCCACCCCUGAAAUCUGGCACCAGGAACUUUUCAGUGCUAUUGCCAGGCAAUGCCUUGCUAUCUAAGAAGUGAGGCCAGGAAACUCCUGGCUUGAUAAAUUGGAAUUAUCUCUCCCAUCCCUUUCAUCUUUCUGUGCCCCUCCUGACCUAGCUUCUGAAUUUAACAUUGAUUCCACAGGGAAUGUCACUAAAAUGUAUCGUGAACACAGAGAAGCAUGGCACCAUAGCUUACCCUUCUAAAAGAAAACCUUGGCACCCGCAGGCCCACCCUGGGCAGAGCCUUCAGAGCGUCUCUAACUCUGGCCCUGGACAAUGGGCUCUAUGAGUAGCACUGUCCUUGCAGCUCACUUGUGGCUCCUUUGUUGAUGUUGCCACAAUCAAAGCCGAUGAAAGGACGGUGUGAAGAGCCAUAUUUCCAUAUUUUCCUCCUGGUCCUGGAAAUGACAUCUACUGCCUUGGGACGGAGGGUACAGUGGGUGAAUGGUGCCCCCCAAAUAUAUGAUCACACGGGGACCCUGUGAGUGUGAUCUUCUUUGGGCAAAGGGUCUUUACAGAUGUGAUUAAAUCAGCAUCUUGAGCUGCCAUUGUUCUAAAUUACCUGGGGUGGGCAGGCGGCGUAAAUGGAGUGACAAGGGUCCCUUGAGACAGAAGAGGGACUGGCACAGAGAGAAGCUCAGGAGAAGAUGAUGGAGAUGCAGCCUGGAGUGAAGCAGCCCCAGUCAAGGCUUCCUGGGCCAUCAGGAGCGGGGGGGGGGGGGCAGAGGAAGACUGUCUGGAGAGCCUUUGGAAGGAGGGAGUGUGGCCCUGCUGACACCUGGGUUUGGGACUCUGGCUUCUACAAUUGGGAGAGGAUGAAUUUCUAUUACUUUAGGCUACUGCUGAGGCUUAGAUACGGUUUUUCUCCAAAAGCUCAUGUGCCCGAGACUUGGUCCCUGAUGUCCUGGUAUUGAGGUGUUGAUGACUUUCAGAAGGGUGAUUAGCCAGGGGCAGCACCCUCAGAAAGACCGGCUUGGUUACCCUCAUAGGGGAUUGAUAAAAACGAAUGUGGCUUUCUUUUUUGUUGUUGUUUUUUUGAGACAGGAACUCACUAUGUAGUUCAGGCUGGUCUAGACUCACUAUGUAGCCCAUGCUGGCUUCAAACUCAUGGCAAUCCUCCUGCCUCAGCCUCCUGAGUGCUGGCAUUACGGGGAUGCACCACUAUGCCUGGCUUCUUCUCUCAGCAUAUGACCUCUCCUGCCUGUGCUGCUGCCCUGUGAUGCCAUCUGCCCAGAAGCUGAGGCUACACAAUGCCACACACUUGGACCUCCAGAACUGUAAGCUAAAUAAACCUCCUUAUUUUCUUUAUGAAGGAAGGUAUCUUAUGAUACGAACAAGGUAUCUUGUUAUAGCAACACACAGUGGACUGAGAGCCACCAAGCUUGUGGUCGUCUGUGAUGGCGGCUCUACUCCAGCAUGCUCCUGGGGUGGGACACAGCUCAAGGUCAUCUUCCACGGGUGAUGUUUUCCCUGUCUGUGGCAGGACUUACCUGAACAACAGCCUCAGCUGGCCUGGCCUGCAAUCCAGGAGCCGCAGACAACCAGAUAGGAGUGUGGCUGAGGAUCUGCCUGGGACAGAGCCUUCUGAAAUGCUGGAAACAGGCUCCAUCUUAGAACUAGACAGACUGAUGUUGAAAUCCCAACACUGACUGACUCUGAGGCCUCUCUGCCUUUCAAGUCCCUCAUCAAUAAAGCGAGGAAAUAAUGUUUACCUUGUAGGCAAGAGCAGGUCCAGCAUCCAAAGCUUACAGAAUUUGGGUGACACUUUAAAAGAGAAAGAAUACAACGAUUUAAAUCCAAAGUUAGGGAAGGAGUCUUGGGAGGCCCUGUAUAAGUUCGGGCCCCUGAGGUGUAAGUCAGGCCCACUCUGUUCAUUGGUGCUCAGAGAAUCACAGGUGAAAACAGGGAGCACAAGGCAGAGCCUGGAUCCUGCUGAGAGCUCUGUAAGAGACAAAAGUUGUCAGCUGGGCGUGGUGGUGCACGCCUGUAAUUCCAGCGCUUGGGCGGCUGAGGCAGGAGGAUCACUUCAAGUGAGUUCUCUGUCUCCAAAAAAAAAAGAAAAGAAAAGAAAAAGAAAGUAUGGAGAUAUGUGUGGAACACAGAAGAAACUCUGAAGGAUACAUUCCAUAGAGACUGCAGUUGUUGCUCUCUUGUCUCUUUUCCCUUCCUUUUGGUAACAGGAAACUGACUUCUAGGACGAUGGCUGUGUGCUCAGCUAAAGCCACCUGUCCCAGCUUCUCUCACAGCUGGGUGUAGCCAUGAGACUAAAUUUUGGCCAAGGAAGUAUAAACAAAGCGUGAUGGCUGAAAUCCAGCUUCCCCAGAGUUCACAGAGGAAGCGCUCACCUCGUGCUCAGAGUGUGGCCCUAACGGAAAGAGGGUCCCUGAGGACAUUAACCGAGGGGAUGGGGGACUCACAUCCCACAUGAAUAAUGGCCUAAUGAAAAGGGGAAAUUAAGACGCGCACGCGCACGGAGAGCGCUGCGUGAAGAUGGGGCAGAGACCAGCAGCUACUUCUACAAAUCCAGGGACCUCAAAGGCUGUCGCAGAAGUCAGGAGAGGCAGCAGUGCUCAGAAGGCACCAAUCCUGGGUUGCCAGCCUCCAGACUGAGAGAAGGGCGACAGUUUCUGUCAUGUAAGCCGAUCGGGUGCGGCACUUUGUUACCGCAGCCCUAGAAAACGAAUGCAGACAGAUAACGUUCUUCUUCAACCAGCAGACGGAGACCGGUAUCGCAAAUGGCAGACAGAGUGCAAGGAGGAACCCGGGACCCCAAAAACCUCAGGGAGCUGUCACAUUACUCUUGCACUGCCUACCCCGGGGC